Molecule: ribosomal RNA, 492 nt
Filed under: uncultured bacterium
Lineage: Bacteria
Description: partial 16S ribosomal RNA
Rfam family: Bacterial small subunit ribosomal RNA
Source: RNAcentral
AGUGAACGCUGGCGGUAGGCCUAACACAUGCAAGUCGAACGGCAGCACAGUAAGAGCUUGCUCUUACGGGUGGCGCGUGGCGGACGGGUGAGGAAUACAUCGGAAUCUACUUUUUCGUGGGGGAUAACGUAGGGAAACUUACGCUAAUACCGCAUACGACCUACGGGUGAAAGCAGGGGAUCUUCGGACCUUGCGCGAUUGAAUGAGUCGAUGUCGGAUUAGCUAGUUGGCGGGGUAAAGGCCCACCAAGGCGACGAUCCGUAGCUGGUCUGAGAGGAUGAUCAGCCACACUGGAACUGAGACACGGUCCAGACUCCUACGGGAGGCAGCAGUGGGGAAUAUUGGACAAUGGGCGCAAGCCUGAUCCAGCCAUACCGCGUGGGUGAAGAAGGCCUUCGGGUUGUAAAGCCCUUUUGUUGGGAAAGAAAAGCAGCAGGUUAAUACCCCGCUGUUCUGACGGUACCCAAAGAAUAAGCACCGGCUAACUUCGUG